This 1033-nucleotide ribosomal RNA is filed under the name marine metagenome. Its description in RNAcentral is "bacterial SSU rRNA". It matches the Rfam family "Archaeal small subunit ribosomal RNA", at positions 332 to 1372 of the family's 1478-position model. The record is from RNAcentral.
GCAGCAGUUACGAAACCUUUACAAUGCGCGCAAGCGUGAUAAGGGCAACCUGCGUGCCGGCCUUAGGUCGGCUUUUGCCAAGUGUAAAAAUCUUGGAGAAUAAGGGGUGGGCAAGACCGGUGCCAGCCGCCGCGGUAACCCCGGCGCCCCAAGUGGUGAUCACAAUUAUUGGGUCUAAAGCAUCCGUAGCCGGUGUAGUCUGUUUUCGGUGAAAUUUGGCGGCUUAAACGUCAAGAAGGCUGAAAAUACUGCUACACUAGGGACCGGGAGGAGUCAGAGGAAUGUCAGGGGGAGCGGUAAAAUGUGGUAAUCCUUGAUGGACCAUCAGUGGCGAAGGCGUCUGACUAUAACGGAUCCGACGGUGAGGGAUGAAAGCUAGGGGAGCAAAUCGGAUUAGAUACCCGAGUAGUCCUAGCUGUAAACGCUGCCUGCAAGGUGCUGCGAUUUCUUCGAGUUUUCGCAGUGUCGAAGUGAAGACGUUAAGCAGGCCACCUGGGAAGUACGGUCGCAAGGCUGAAACUUAAAGGAAUAGGCGGGGGUCACAACAAGGGGUGGAUGUUGCGGUUUAAUUCAACAAUACGCGGGGAACCCUACCAGGGCCGACAGCAGAAUGAAGGUCAGCCUGAAUGGCUCACUUGACGCGCUGAGAGGUGGUGCAUGGCGGUCGUCAGCUCGUGUCUUGAGAUGUUCUGUUAAGUCAGAGAACGAGCGAGACCUGCGUUUUCAGUUGCCACCGUCCUUUUUCGAGGACGAGCACACUGGAAAGACUGCAUUCGAAAGGAUGAGGAAGGUGCAGGCUACGGUACGUCUGUAUGCCCCGAAUGUCCUGGGCUACACGCGACAUACACUGGUCGGAACAACGGGUAGCAACUCCGAAAGGAGAAGCCAAUCCCUUAAAGCCGAUCCGGUCUGGAUCGAGGGCUGCAACUCGCCCUCGUGAAAACGAAAUCCCUAGUAAUCGUGUAUUAGCAAUGCGCGGUGAAUAAGUCCCUGGCCCUUGCACUCACUGCCUGUCAAGUCAACCGAGCAGGGU